Long non-coding RNA from Helianthus annuus (common sunflower), 683 nucleotides. RefSeq lists it as uncharacterized. The record is from RefSeq and is a predicted model, not a curated record. The transcript has 2 exons. NCBI's taxonomy places the organism in Eukaryota, Viridiplantae, Streptophyta, Magnoliopsida, Asterales, Asteraceae.
GUCUUAAAUUUUUGUUAAUCCGGAUGUCGGAUUUUAACUCCAUAUGAUGGAGAAUUAAAUUACGGACGCGUAGGAAAAAGAAUCGUGUAAAACGGAUUAAAAACGAGAGAGUUAUGUCCGUUUCGGUAAGAACUAAUGAAAAAUAGACGUGCAGAGUUGACACGGGCGGGUGACUUUUUGACACGGCCGGGUGGCUGGGCUGUGAAAAAUAUAUGUUAACUGACACGGCCGGGUGACUUUUUGACACGGCCGGGUGAAGGGGCUGAAAACAAAACAAAAAUAAUUUCUUGUUUUGUUACGUUAAGCACGGAACUUGUUUAUACUCGAUUAUUAAAGUGUCAAAACUAAUUAUUUACAUGGUUUUGACCGUAGGUGAAGAUGGAAUAAGCGGUUUGAAAGAUACGAAAGUUUUCGUGCAAAUAAACGGCAAAAUAGGAAAGCUGGAAUGCAGGGGCCACCGUAACUUACGGUGCCACCGUAAGUAACGGUGGAGCUGAAAGCUUUACGGUAGCUUCCUACUGAAUUACGGUGAAUGUCAAGAGUCCCGGAUAAAGAUCAAGCAUCGAGCAAGAACCGAACACGCGUUAAAUAAAGCUUCCGCUAUGUUGUUUCGUCAUUAUUUUAAAACGGCGAAUUAAACCACUUUAUGUGGUGUUACUAUAAUUUGUAAAAGUUUUCUUUAA